GACGAACGCUGGCGGCGUGCCUAAUACAUGCAAGUCGAACGCUUCUUUCCUCCCGAGUGCUUGCACUCAAUUGGAAAGAGGAGUGGCGGACGGGUGAGUAACACGUGGGUAACCUACCCAUCAGAGGGGGAUAACACUUGGAAACAGGUGCUAAUACCGCAUAACAGUUUAUGCCGCAUGGCAUAAGAGUGAAAGGUGCUUUCGGGUGUCGCUGAUGGAUGGACCCGCGGUGCAUUAGCUAGUUGGUGAGGUAACGGCUCACCAAGGCCACGAUGCAUAGCCGACCUGAGAGGGUGAUCGGCCACACUGGGACUGAGACACGGCCCAGACUCCUACGGGAGGCAGCAGUAGGGAAUCUUCGGCAAUGGACGAAAGUCUGACCGAGCAACGCCGCGUGAGUGAAGAAGGUUUUCGGAUCGUAAAACUCUGUUGUUAGAGAAGAACAAGGACGUUAGUAACUGAACGUCCCCUGACGGUAUCUAACCAGAAAGCCACGGCUAACUACGUG
This 508-nucleotide ribosomal RNA is filed under the name uncultured bacterium. RNAcentral describes it as "partial 16S ribosomal RNA". It matches the Rfam family "Bacterial small subunit ribosomal RNA", at positions 28 to 507 of the family's 1533-position model. The record is from RNAcentral.